GCUGUUACUGUGAGCAGUGAAGAGUGUAAAAUAUACUGGAGGACAAGCAGCACGUACUCACCGAAGGAAAGGAGGUGAGGGCAGGCCAGGGUCGGGAGCCGACAUUCCCAGAGGGGAGCAGAGGCCAGUGGCAAGAUGUUCCCUGAGCUGCUCAGUGUUGGCAGUGCAGGAGGCACAAUAAUGUCAGUCGGUGAGAUUUGCAGCUGAGGAUCUUUUACAUCCCGGGACCAGCAGGUGAUGUUCCCUGAGCUGCUCAGUGUUGGCAGUGCAGGGGGCACAAUAAUGUCAGUCGGUGAGAUUUGCAGCUGAGGAUCUUUAACAUCCCGGGACCAGCAGGUGGUUCACGUUUACCAUACAGAAUGAGACAAAGUGAAUCAAAACCAAAGGGCAAAAGACACAGAGAGGGCAAGACCCUCUCCUCGUUACAGAGCAUUUGCCACGUGUCAGAAACGGGCUCACUGUAAUGAUGAUUGACUGUUACUGAUUGAUUUAUUGAUUAUGUUUUCAGAAUGUAUGUACACCUGCAUUUUAUGUUCUGAAGCAGUUUUUGCUCAAAUUGUGUUUGGUCAAACUGAGCACAGAAGUCCAUCCUGACAACUCGAAUUCAUUGGCAGCAAUAAUGUGAAAUGUAGUUAUAGAAUUUGGUCAGUACAAAAAUAAGAAAAAGCAUAAUUUUCAAUGAUGAUUUCAUAAAUCAAAAUUAAAUAAUAAAAAUCUUUAAAACAGACCGAAAGGGUGUAGGCUGAAGCUACAGCUUAUUACACCUACCCCUCUUACUUAUACAAAACAUAUUUGGCGUCGAUCAUCACAUCAAAACAAAAACUUUCAUAAUCUUUUAAUACAAAAUUCAAUUCCAAGUAUUUAUUUACUUUACUGCCAUUCUUUAUAAAUCAUGUAUUUUACAUUUGUUCAUUAAAUUAUUUUCAAAUAA
Molecule: long non-coding RNA, 931 nt
Organism: Hypanus sabinus (Atlantic stingray)
Lineage: Eukaryota; Metazoa; Chordata; Chondrichthyes; Myliobatiformes; Dasyatidae
Exons: 4
Source: RefSeq, a predicted model, not a curated record